CCUCGAGCCUUCUUAAGAGCCGUUCAAGACCAGGACGUUGAUAGGCUGGGUGUGUAAGCGCUGUGAGGCGUUGAGCUAACCAGUACUAAUUGCUCGUGCGGCUUGACUAU
RNAcentral lists this ribosomal RNA (110 nucleotides) under Marinobacter mobilis. Its description in RNAcentral is "Bacterial large subunit ribosomal RNA". It matches the Rfam family "Bacterial large subunit ribosomal RNA", at positions 2813 to 2925 of the family's 2925-position model. Lineage: Bacteria; Pseudomonadati; Pseudomonadota; Gammaproteobacteria; Pseudomonadales; Marinobacteraceae. The record is from Rfam by way of RNAcentral.